This 588-nucleotide long non-coding RNA is filed under the name Toxoplasma gondii VEG. Lineage: Eukaryota; Apicomplexa; Conoidasida; Eucoccidiorida; Sarcocystidae. The record is from RNAcentral.
CUCCGCUUGUCUUGGAUGCAUGAAGAUUUUCUUUGCCUACCUGUCCGUGUGAUGCGCUCAUUCGGCGGCACUGCCUUGAUAAGUUUUUCUGCACCGCCUUUGACUGCGUAGCUCCUACCAAAAAGCAACAACGGAGUGCAAGGCACUUGCACGACUCCGUCGCGGGUGACGGUUUUGACCCUUUUGACAGUGUUGUAAUAGUAUCGAAAACCUUCCGUGUACUUGAAUCCUCAACCCAGUACAUAGCGCUCCACCGUACCACACUUCGGGAAUACCCAGAAUCGUUUUUCUCUGACUCCGGAAGUCCUUGUCCCCCAGCGUUCAAGAACGUCAAGGGGCAGGCAAAAUGGUGCCUGGAAUGCACUCGGCCGUAAUAUCAGGAUUACCUAUACGUGGACAAGAGAAGAACGAUAUUCACAAACAAAGGAUGAUGUUCGCUCUGUCGAUGUAAUUCAAGUGAAGCAGACAGACUUGAACCAUCUACGAUCAACUGCGUCAUACAUUAAAAACUGCCAAGACGGAGGCGCGACGAAGUGCGUAUCCUAUUUGCCAGGUCUUAAAAUACCUCGAUGUCCCUACAGAAAUCCC